Non-coding RNA from Acanthosepion pharaonis, 103 nucleotides. Lineage: Eukaryota; Metazoa; Mollusca; Cephalopoda; Sepiida; Sepiidae. The record is from the annotation of a GenBank genome assembly.
CAUCACGUUGUAUCACAUGUUGCCAUACGAUGACCGUAGUUAAGCAACGUUGGGCCUGCUCCGUACCUAGAUGGGUGACUGCUUGAGAAUACCAGGUGUUGUG